This 437-nucleotide ribosomal RNA is filed under the name uncultured bacterium. RNAcentral describes it as "bacterial SSU rRNA". It matches the Rfam family "Bacterial small subunit ribosomal RNA", at positions 97 to 520 of the family's 1533-position model. The record is from RNAcentral.
GGCGAACGGGUGAGUAACACGUGGGUAAUCUCGCCCUCGGCAUCGGGAUAGCCCGGGGAAACCCGGAUUAAUACCGGAUAGCCUCUGGAGCCUUCGGGCGUCGGAGAAAAGGUAGCUUCGGCCUCUGGCCGAGGAUGAGCCCGCGGCGGAUUAGCUUGUUGGUGGGGUAACGGCCCACCAAGGCGACGAUCCGUAGCUGGUCUGAGAGGACGAUCAGCCACACUGGGACUGAGACACGGCCCAGACUCCUACGGGAGGCAGCAGUGGGGAAUCUUGCGCUAAUGCGGGAAACCGUGACGCAGCGACGCCGCGUGGGGGAAGAAGGCCUUCGGGUUGUAAACCUCUUUCAGGAGGGACGAAGCUACUCGGGUGAAUAGCCCAGAGGGUGACGGUACCUCCAGAAGAAGCCCCGGCUAACUACGUGCCAGCAGCCGCGG